Molecule: ribosomal RNA, 252 nt
Filed under: uncultured bacterium
Lineage: Bacteria
Description: partial 16S ribosomal RNA
Rfam family: Bacterial small subunit ribosomal RNA
Source: RNAcentral
UACGUAGGGGGCGAGCGUUGUCCGGAUUUACUGGGCGUAAAGGGUGUGUAGGCGGCAAUGCAUGUCUGAAGUGAAAGGCAAAGGCUCAACCUUUGUUAGCUUCGGAAACUGCAUAGCUUGAGUACAGGAGAGGUAAGUGGAAUUCCUAGUGUAGCGGUGAAAUGCGCAGAUAUUAGGAGGAACACCGGUGGCGAAGGCGACUUACUGGACUGUAACUGACGCUGAGACACGAAAGUGUGGGGAGCAAACAGG